CUCCUACGGGAGGCAGCAGUGGGGAAUAUUGGACAAUGGGCGCAAGCCUGAUCCAGCAAUGCCGCGUGUGUGAAGAAGGCCCUAGGGUUGUAAAGCACUUUCAGUUGGGAAGAAACGCAGAGUGAUAAUACCGCUCUGUAAUGACGUUACUGACAGAAGAAGCACCGGCUAACUCCGUGCCAGCAGCCGCGGUAAUA
This 197-nucleotide ribosomal RNA is filed under the name uncultured Gammaproteobacteria bacterium. Its description in RNAcentral is "partial 16S ribosomal RNA". It matches the Rfam family "Bacterial small subunit ribosomal RNA", at positions 336 to 525 of the family's 1533-position model. Lineage: Bacteria; Pseudomonadati; Pseudomonadota; Gammaproteobacteria. The record is from RNAcentral.